ACCAGACUCCUACGGGAGGCAGCAGUGGGGGAUAUUGCACAAUGGGGGGAACCCUGAUGCAGCGACGCCGCGUGGGUGAAGAAGCGCCUCGGCGCGUAAAGCCCUGUCAGCAGGGAAGAAAAUGACGGUACCUGAAGAAGAAGCCCCGGCUAACUACGUGCCAGCAGCCGCGGUAAUACGUAGGGGGCAAGCGUUAUCCGGAUUUACUGGGUGUAAAGGGGGCGCAGACGGCGAUGCAAGCCAGGAGUGAAAGCCCGGGGCCCAACCCCGGGACUGCUCUUGGAACUGCGUGGCUGGAGUGCAGGAGGGGCAGGCGGAAUUCCUGGUGUAGCGGUGAAAUGCGUAGAUAUUAGGAGGAACACCAGUGGCGAAGGCGGCCUGCUGGACGAUGACUGACGCUGAGGCUCGAAAGCGUGGGGAGCAAACAGGAUUAGAUACCCUGGUAA
This 446-nucleotide ribosomal RNA is filed under the name uncultured bacterium. RNAcentral describes it as "partial 16S ribosomal RNA". It matches the Rfam family "Bacterial small subunit ribosomal RNA", at positions 330 to 793 of the family's 1533-position model. The record is from RNAcentral.